RNAcentral lists this long non-coding RNA (383 nucleotides) under Canis lupus familiaris (dog). RNAcentral describes it as "lncRNA (ENSCAFG00000036208.3, ENSCAFG00845005650.1)". The record is from RNAcentral. Lineage: Eukaryota; Metazoa; Chordata; Mammalia; Carnivora; Canidae.
AAUGAGGCACCCAUCUGUCCUGACAUGCUGGAUUAGAUUUAACUAACAUUGUCACAGUUGAAGCAAAAAAGAUCUCUUCCACGGCGGUGCUUUUUCACCGUGGCUCAACGCCCCUGUCUGUAGGAGGGAGGAAGAAAGGUAGAAUUUGUUUACAGAGAAGAAACUUUGGCUCUCAAUGACAUCAACAGGACAGCAAGCAAUUAUGUGAAGCAGCUGGGUUACAAGGAGGACUGAUCACAUGUUAUUACACGCCGAGGAAUUAUGGAUUAGGAAAAGAUGAACAAUGUAAUUAUGUUCAUGGAGUGUCACUUAUUAAUUUUUAAGGUUGGCUCGGGACCUUGUAUGGUGAAUAGCAUCAGCUGGCAAGGAGUCUAACAAACAGU